Triticum urartu is the source of this 652-nucleotide non-coding RNA. NCBI's taxonomy places the organism in Eukaryota, Viridiplantae, Streptophyta, Magnoliopsida, Poales, Poaceae. The record is from RefSeq and is a predicted model, not a curated record.
CCCUCCCCCGCGCUCCGGCCGUCUCCCUCCCCUGCGCUCCGGCCACCUCCCUCCCCCGCGCUCCGGCCAUCUCCCUACCUCGCGCUCCGGCCUCAUCCCUCCCCGCGCUUCGGAUGCCUCCCUCCGAGAUCCGACUGCCUUCCCCCUGAGGUCCCAUGGAAGCACCGCCGCCGCCCAACCCCUCCUUCCGCAAGGUAGCGCUCUGGGCCGCCCUCCUUGCCGCGGUAGCCCUGCUGGCCGUUGGCGGCGGACGCUGGGUGGCGGGUGCUGUCAUGCUUCUUCUCCGGCGAGGACGCCGUGCUAUGCCGGCGCCGCCACACAUCUCCGGUUCUCACUGGUGGCAGCUUCGUCCUCUUUUAAACUGAAGUUUUCAUUCAGGUAGUACAUCCACAACAGCUAGUAUAGAAUGGAGAGUAGUGGAUACAACUACCUAGUAGAAUACUACAGGGAAGAAGGGACGUUCGAUGCUACUAGAUUGUGGACAGAGGAGUUAAAUUAAGCCCCUCACUUCGUUUCUACAAAUUAGGGGAGCUAGAUCCCUGCUUCAGUAUAUGACUUGUACAAGAAUACAUACACUAAGUGUAGCAGUUCACUAUGUAUUUAUAUCAUCAGUUCGUUAACAAAUCAAAAGAAAAAGUUUUUGUGCGUGUGA